GGAAAUAGGGUGAGGGGUCCUUACUUGUUUUCGAGAUCCGAAUACGAUUCACAGUGCGCCUGCAGGCCGUCCCUAAUUUUCCCUGAAUUUUUCCCGGGAAACUGAAACACACUAAGAGUACCUGCACGUGUUCCAAAAAAUCCAAAUUAGGCCCAGGGCCUCUUUCGGCCCAAAUCGCAACUCCGGCACGGCGGCGAGUCGCCUCGGGUUGGCUGUUUUCGGCCGUUUUCGGCCGAAUUCGGCCACGCUCGCAUUGGUCCUUGUCAGAAAACAACCCUAGGGCCCUCGGGGGGCCAAAAAAUCACGAAAAAACGGAGCUUACCGGCGGCGGCGCUCUCGGGUGCAGCGGCUCUCCGGCGAGGUUCGUGUUUUGGUGAUUCGGCUCCGGUCAACCUGUAGAGAAAAGAAUGGUGACCACGGUGAUAUAAAAAUUGCAUCGAACGGAGGCCGGGAAGGGCCUCGUCGGAGGCAAAAACCGAGAGGGGGCGCGGCGGCGCCGCUGGGCUUUGGCCGCGUAUUCCGGCCGUUUGGCCGGGAUUUCGGCCUCGAUUUGGCCAUAGGAGGAAUCAACGGGGAAAAACGAGUCGGGGGUAUGAAAUUUACCUCGAUCGGCGGUCGGAAAUUUCCCUGGUGCGGCGGCGAGUGGCGGCGGGUGGCGGCGGUCGGCCUCUGGUUCGUCUUCUCCGGCGAGCGGCUGGCGGCUAGGGUUUGUGGUC
This 716-nucleotide long non-coding RNA is filed under the name Carica papaya (papaya). Its description in RNAcentral is "long non-coding RNA (CPAP_LNC010498)". Lineage: Eukaryota; Viridiplantae; Streptophyta; Magnoliopsida; Brassicales; Caricaceae. The record is from RNAcentral.